GGUGAACCUGCGGAAGGAUCAUUGUCGAAUCCAACACGGACAGACCCGCGAAUCGUCGUUCU
RNAcentral lists this ribosomal RNA (62 nucleotides) under Pternandra caerulescens. RNAcentral describes it as "partial 18S ribosomal RNA". Lineage: Eukaryota; Viridiplantae; Streptophyta; Magnoliopsida; Myrtales; Melastomataceae. RNAcentral also lists the same sequence under 2 other names. The record is from RNAcentral.